Molecule: ribosomal RNA, 253 nt
Filed under: uncultured bacterium
Lineage: Bacteria
Description: partial 16S ribosomal RNA
Rfam family: Bacterial small subunit ribosomal RNA
Source: RNAcentral
GACGAGGGAUCCUAGCGUUGUUCGGAAUCAUUGGGCGUAAAGCGGGUGUAGGCGGCUCAGUAAGUCAGGUGUGAAAGCCCAGGGCUCAACCCUGGAAGUGCAUUUGAUACUGCUGAGCUUGAGUGCGAGAGAGGUAAGUAGAAUUCCUGGUGUAGUGGUGAAAUACGUAGAUAUCAGGAGGAAUACCAGAGGCGAAGGCGGCUUACUGGCUCGACACUGACGCUCAGACCCGAAAGCGUGGGGAUCAAACAGG